This 465-nucleotide ribosomal RNA is filed under the name Vreelandella stevensii. RNAcentral describes it as "partial 16S ribosomal RNA". It matches the Rfam family "Bacterial small subunit ribosomal RNA", at positions 338 to 795 of the family's 1533-position model. Lineage: Bacteria; Pseudomonadati; Pseudomonadota; Gammaproteobacteria; Oceanospirillales; Halomonadaceae. The record is from RNAcentral.
CCUACGGGUGGCUGCAGUGGGGAAUAUUGGACAAUGGGGGGAACCCUGAUCCAGCCAUGCCGCGUGUGUGAAGAAGGCCCUCGGGUUGUAAAGCACUUUCAGUGAGGAAGAACGCCUGGUGGUUAAUACCCAUCAGGAAAGACAUCACUCACAGAAGAAGCACCGGCUAACUCCGUGCCAGCAGCCGCGGUAAUACGGAGGGUGCGAGCGUUAAUCGGAAUUACUGGGCGUAAAGCGCGCGUAGGUGGCUUGAUAAGCCGGUUGUGAAAGCCCCGGGCUCAACCUGGGAACGGCAUGCGGAACUGUCAAGCUAGAGUGCAGGAGAGGAAGGUAGAAUUCCAGGUGUAGCGGUGAAAUGCGUAGAGAUCGGGAGGAAUACCAGUGGCGAAGGCGGCCUUCUGGACUGACACUGACACUGAGGUGCGAAAGCGUGGGUAGCAAACAGGAUUAGAUACCCGAGUAGUC